Notothenia coriiceps (black rockcod) is the source of this 10917-nucleotide long non-coding RNA. RefSeq lists it as uncharacterized. NCBI's taxonomy places the organism in Eukaryota, Metazoa, Chordata, Actinopteri, Perciformes, Nototheniidae. The record is from RefSeq and is a predicted model, not a curated record. The transcript has 3 exons.
UGUGGGCCACAUAAAAUGAAGUCACAGGCCGGAUUUGGCCCCCGGGCCUGGAGUUUGACACCCCCGCUUUAAAGCAUGAUUUUCCUUAGUGGUUUUAGAAAAGGUGUCUUAAUUGAAAAUGUUGUUGAAGUUUGGAAAUGCACCAUUCUCACAAUCCAUGAAAUGUUCACUGACACUAUUUAAUAAUGAUGUCUUAAUGAAAAGCUCCGUAUAACAUGACGUCUGAUCAGUGUUAUUUCCACUCGAGUACAUACUCGUAAUCCACUUUAUUACUACAUCGCUGUUUAUGUUCUGUUUUUACCAUAUUCCAAUGUAGCCUUGUGUUGAAAAAAUAGCCCCCUGUGUUGGAGUUUUUAGCUUUUGAGACUUUUAGUCUUUUCCUACUAUUAAGGUUUCACAGAGUAUGCCAGCAUUGGCAUAUCAUGUGCAUAUUGUUUUCCUGUUGGAGAAAUGUCUUGUGCAAUGUUUCAUUUUACAGUGGCAAUAUUCUACACAUGCAUUCCUGAUGUAGUCCUUGUACUUCAGUCUGGUCUCGUUUGGGACCAUAAGUCAUUAAUGAUUUUUUUGUUUUGAAUUGCAGUGCCAUAAGAGGUGCUGUAAUGGCAGGACAGUGUAUUCAUAUGUAAUUUCUGCUCAUCGAACCACAUAUAAUUUAAGAAAACAACUUACGCUCGCAACAAAAAACAAACUAUAACAUUUAUUUUAUUGAAAGGCCUCCAAGGCGUUUUCUGUUGCUACAUUAAGUUCCCUUAAAAGCCAAUUGUGGGCAGCAUUCACAAAAUGCUAGACCUACGGAGUAGUAAGACUAUGCUUAAGGCUGGUCUUGGCAUGCACUGGAGAGACCGUACUAGCUAGGCACUGACUAACGAAAGCAUUACCCUCUCUUCCUUUUCUGUAUGUAACCUGUGGCACCUGUGGACCUUCAUAUUGGAACGAACCGUUUCUUCGGAUGUGUCUCCUGCUGGUUGUGUUGUAAAUCUCACAAUAUAAAACAAAUCACCUUUACUACCGUACCAUUUAUACACUUCCAUAUGGACAUGAACUUUGUGCCUGCGCACUAAACCAUUACUUAACACCCCCUCUCCAAUCUGCCCACCUGGCAAAUUAAACCCAACAGCGCAACGAGCGCUUUGCCCAGGGCGGUCCUAGGGGAAUAGGUCCUGGUACCCCCGGGUUCGGCAGAGUCCGUGAGGAGUUUGAUGGUCCUGCUAAGAAACCCCGUUUUUAAAUGCUGCUAUUUGAAGCUUCCAGCAGCAACAUUUGUAUAGAUUCUCCACAACAUACUUGUUGAGUCGCAUUUCUUGUAUUUAAGUUUAAAUUGUUGCUACAUUUUAGCCUGACAAUUUACUCAUUUUAUGACAGUCAAUAUUUUCCUUUUUUUAUUUUGUAUUGUCAGUAGUAUGGAAAGAUGGAACACCCUCGUGUGAUCAUUAGCUCUUUCAGACACAUGUAUACUUUUCUUUUCUAGAUGUAUUAUGCUCUGUGAGUCGCCGUGAAGUGAUAACUGUAACACUUUUCUCUACCUUCUAUGGCUGUGUUUUGUGCCAUACAUUUGGAGUCAAAGCAUGUAUUAUAAUAAAGAGACAUUGGUUCUGUCCGGCAAAACGUUAACAUUUAUUCCUACAAGUUGAAACUCUAAACGUAUAAUAUGUUCAAAAGCAACAAUUUACUAACAAAUAGUUGUUUUUAAUUGACGUGGCUAUUUCUGCCACUAUAGGUCUUAAAGGGUCUAUGUGUUAUCUCUGCCGAAGUCCUAAACCUCAAUCGCUCGGCGACGCGUGGCUCCUCCUGAUGCAUAUGCUGCAAAUUUCCCUGCAGUCUUUUGCUUGUUUUUUUAUUCCCAUUAAACUCAAAAAACUAGCUGACACACUUACAAUUUGAAUUCCUGAUAUGAGUGUUUAUUAGACUUUUAUCAAAUAAUUAUACUAAUCUAGCAGUGACAUGUCUUAUUGGUAAAGGGUUUUGACAUUUGGCAUCUGCAAGUCUAGACUGCAUCAAUGUCUUCAAACUGUAGAGGACACACAAUAUUAUUAAUCCAUUUAAAUAUACCACUUUUAAUUUGUUCUCCAUAUACACUGCUUAGUGGCAAUGGAGGUCUCCGCUCUCUGUUUAGCAUGUUCCAUUCACUGUUAUUCAGUAACUCUUUUAAAGUCAUGUUUUCGGAAAGCAGACAUACUACACAUAGAUCCUUUAAGAAAGACUUGUGUGGUGGUUGUGGGUAGUCAAGUGGACACUCGUCUUCUUAUAAAUACAAAUGCUUAUCAGAUACUCAGUGACUUACAGGAAACAUUAGUGCAUCUUUGGUGCACUCUUUUAAAGCUAUUGACUACGUUUACAUGCAGUCGAAUACAAUAUUUAAAAAUGUAAGGAUCACCAUGCUCUUUUUAAUGCAAACAUUUGAUCAAAGUGACUGUUGGCCUCUUCUUGGUAGUAAAUGGGUUGUUUUGAUAAAUCGAAGAGAGCUCAUUACAAUUGAACAAAAACAAUCCACCAAGUUGUGCAUUAUGCUUUUAAAUACCCCCAGUCUGUGUUCUUAGUCAAGGUUCUACUACUGCAUUGUACAGCUCAACAAUCUUUGGUUUCCAUUAGAAAAACUUGCAUAAUUUUUUGGUAUUCUUCAGGUGAGAUUUCAAGCAAGCUAAACUUGCAAAUUAAUAUGGGAGCUCAAACGCUGCAGACCAAUGAGAAAGAAAAGAAAAAAAGCGUAGCUACUGUCAAUAGCGACCGCUAUUUUAUUUGUAUUGACUCGACCAAGAUCACAGAGAAUGACCGCCCACAAUAUAACAUACCUGCAUCUAAACGUAGUCCUAACCAGUUCAGUCAAAUAAUAAUUUUUGGGUACAGUUAUCAACAUCUAUGUUACUAACUAAUUUGUAUGUUGAUACCAUAGAUACAAUAUUUGUUGACGUAAGUACAUGUUAUCAAAUGAAAGAGCUCAGUAAUUAGUAAGACAAUAUUAAAGUUAAAAAAGGCUUCCCCCUUAUUAACAAAAAACAAUGUGACUGACUCUUUUAAAUGCUUGCUUUGAAAUAUAUUUCCAAUAUGAUUAAAAUAUUUUCGAUUUUAAUAGUUACAUGAAAUUAGUAUAACACGAGUCAGCAAGACAGCCCGUGUUGUCAAAUCUUGCACUUGUUGAAACUUGUGCAAAAGUAGAAGGUUGCAAAGCAUGUAUUGUCCUGUAAGAAGACGAGAACGUUUUCCCUAAGCAAGGUCAACUGCAUUGAUGUGGUUUGAACUGCAGUUGAAUACCCGGCCAAUGUUGGCUUCAUCUUCUACUUUAGGUUUCUAACAAGAGAUGGUGAUAUUUCACAUUCUCCAAUUUGGGAAUUCCCUUUUUACCUCUUGUCACUUCGCAAGAGGUCACAAUUUUUUCAUUUUUUUUAAAAUCCUCAAUUCUAUUCAAUGUGUUUAUUCCUACUGCUUCAUAUCAUUAAUUGGGUGAAAUUAUCAGGAGCCCAUUUACAGCACCGUUUUGCAUUAAAGGAGACAAAGUGUGUUAGGCUGUAGUUGCAUCAAUGUCAUCUGUUGCGAUAUUGUAGGAUGCAGGACGCUUAAAAAAAUAAAAUGCAAUCUUAUUUAUACUGCCUUAUAGCUGCCUUGUGCCCAGUGAGAAGAACCUAUUUGAACUAGAGGUGCACUUCUAGACCACGGACCUCCGCCAAGACUCAGCCGCUUCAAAUUGUAACGGUUUCUUCAUUGGCCCAUGCUACACCCUUCCACCAAAUUUAAUGAAAAUUGGGCCAGUAAUUUUUUCCAUAAUCCUACAAAGAGACCAGAACGAAUCCUUGGCGACAGUAACAAUGAGAUCCAUAACAUUUUAAAAAGAGUCUGCUUUUAAAAUUAUACAUCAAAUUAUUAACAUUUUCUAUCAUCAUUGCUAAAGUCUUCUUGCAACUGAUAUUCAAAUUAUAACUGUAAUGCCCAAUCCCUCCCCAUGAAUCAUGUCAGUACCUGCUCUGAAGUACUUUGACAUCACGCUGGCAUCAAAUGGACACUGGCUUGCCUUUGCAAACAUUUCUCAGUUGUGUGAUAGAAGGAGAUGGGCUUUAAAAGUGAGUGUAAGUAUUUUUGUAUUAACUACUUCUUUUAGGAUUUAACUGCUAAGUAUACUUGUUUCAUCUUACUGUGUUUUUUGGAUGGAAAUUGAGAAUUUGCUCAGAAAUUAAGCACUUUUUUCAACAGUCUUUGGUACUGUGCUCUUUUUAAACCGUAAACAUCCAUUGGCUGACUUAAGACAAUAUUUGGAGAUAUAAUUGGAGGACCACAAUUCAGUGGUAGUUCUUUUCAUUUGCCUUUUGUAUAGCUGCAAAAACAUUGAAGUAUUUGAGACGCAAGGAAACUUUAAAGUUGAAGGUCCUCAUGCAGUGUCAAUUUACUCUGCACAAUAACAAACAUUAUAAGGGCUUUGUGCAUUUCACACCCUUUUUUUAUUGAAUUGGUUUUACUUUUUGAUUAUGCAGAACAAUUUCGGGGCAACAACAAAUCAUUUAGUUAGUAAAUGCUCAGACCUCUGCAAACGCUUUUCCAAAAGCAAAUGGUGUAUCCAACCAGUUAUUUGGAUUUGCCAAUGCUGCUGUCAUUCUUAAUCUAACCAUUCUGACAUAUCCCUAAACCCUCCGACAUUUCCAACAAUACGAAUAACCAUUUUUGCCAGGUUUGAGUAACCCUCUCUUGGUCCAAUAGUAAAAAUGAAAGAUUUUAAACUGAACCUUUAAUUGUUAAACACCUUGACAAUGUUUUAAAAUGGCCACUUAUCUGAGCCUUAUCAUUUGUAAGUGGUGAAAUGUCUUAAUCCCCUUCCAACACACUUUUCAGAGCUGCGAUAGCUUUAUUCCCACUACAGAAAAAAACCUUCUAUAAUAUUUGGAUACCCCAUCACAUUUUUGCCCUGCAAGAAUCCCUAGUUAAUCCUUUCCCUUCGAGUGGCAUCUGAGAAACCUGAAACACACCGGACUACGGAUACUUGGUAAAAUAAUUGGAUAUCAAGGAGUGUUCAUCUGUAAUGUGUGUUUGUGUUAUGUACAUUUUUCUUUAACAGGUUUGACCAGCUUUAAAGAUUGUGGACUGUGGAGGAAUUUGUGGCUGUAUAGCGUGGAAUCAAGAAUGCUUUAGGAGAAAAAAAGUGACACUGGACCCGUGUACAAAUGUACUUUAGUAAGACUCACAAUAGAACAAUGUAAAAGGGAAGAAAAUCGGGAUGCUGACAUUUUAGCCUUUGAGCAAUGAGGCUCAUCUAGCUUUGUUGCAAUCCCUUUGACAACAAUGGAUACUUGUAGACAUAACUACCGUUAAAUGUAUGACAACCAUGACAGAAUUGCAACUUUAGAAAUACAUUAUUGAUUGUUUUUUUUAUGUCAGUCAAGAUGUAAAAACAGUAAUUCUGUCUACAACUUGAGGUUUUUUUUGUGUUUUUUAACGGUAGUAAUUAUUUAAUUUCUCAUAUAUUGGAAGACAUACUGUACCUACGUUAUUGCUUUCUACUAACGUUUUCCCAGAUUGGUGUAAAUUAGCUGAAGAGAACCAUUCCAGAAAAAGUUCAGUCGGGAUACAGUUUCCAGUAAUUGUCUUUGGAGAUUAAUGCUGAAUUUUCUCUUUUGUUUGUUUACCAUCUAAAACUAAUUUUUUUUUAAAUGCAAUAUUAAACUUUUGUAAGCUUUUAAGGGGAUUCCAAAUUCAAUGUUUAGUUUCUUGUUUUUUAUUUAAUUUCUUAUAAUUUAUCAAGCUUACAUUUUUUGGGGGGAAUUAAUUACAAGCUUAAGUCCAUUCAUUUGGAAACAAGCACAGCAACAAAGGAUUCAGUUUUGUAGUCUCAUUUGGUAAAUAUACAGUCCGGUGUGUGACUCAAUGGACAGAUGUUUAACCAGAUUUUCUGGGUUAACUUGACCUCUGGAAUCCAUUUGUCACAUUGAAUGGAAAAACUUUGGGGGGGGGUUGGCGGUGCACAAGUGAGUUGGUAAGACAAUUAGUUAAGUAUCACAAGCAUAGUAAGUAAGGAAACAUGAAGAUAAGAAAGGACUGCUAGUUGAACAGAGACGUUCUGCUCUUAAAAGCAUCUGAACAUCCUGCAACAUAGUACAAGUGCUCAUUGAAGUGACCCAGGUAUACCUUUUAAAUCUUUUGAUGUUAUGUCUGUGUUGGUGUUGUGUACAAAUUGUUUUUCUUUGACAGGUUUGACCAUCUUUAAACGUGUUGGACUGUGAGAAGGAACUUUCCAAAAAGAGACCAAUCUGUAGCUUCUUCACUUUUGAUAAUGAAACCUUAAGGACCAAAUAGAACUUGUUUUUGAAAGACUUCGAUCAAUGUGUAAUCAUGAAAGGCUGUGCUUUGAUCGAAGUUUGAAGAUGGAGAGUUUAACUUUUUAACAUCCUUUUCGCACUAAAACCCUAAACUGCCCAGGUUGCAGUAUAUUUCCCCAUAAUGUGUUGAUGUGCUGAAAAGAAAAAAACAUUUUUUGAGAAUAGUCAUUGUCAAUAUCUGUCUAUAAAGGCAUUAAGUUGUUUUUACAGACUACACAGUGACUUGAUUUCAGGUGCUUUGGACAGGGUUUUCUCUCAUGGCCAACACAUUCUGACUUUAUUAUUUAUGUCAAGAUCUUGGCAAUAUUCAUCAAGUGAUGUUCUUCAAGAUUUGUUAAGUGUCGCCAAGCAACAAGCUAAUAAGAACCCUUGUUGGAGUUUAAAACCGGAAUGUGUUUUUUUACCAACGCACUUAUUAGCCUUUGCUAGUUGAGUAAAAUGGUAACUAGAGUUCAGAGUUAACCUUUGUUUAACACUAGAACCGCCAGGUUGUCGCUAUAUACCUAAAACCGCCAACGGGUAAAAUGUACCCGCUAUUAGAAUGCAUUGAUUUUCAAGAUACAAUGUUCUUUUAUUUAUCACACUAGAACACAGGGUUAACAGUGAGUUUUGAUCGUACAGGGAUGAAACUAAUACCAUUAUAAUCUGGACUCAGCUUUCAUAGGAUAUCUGAGUUUAUGCAGAUAGCAUGAGGUAGAAAAUAUUGAUAAAAGUGUCUCUAUAACUAUCUAUCUAGCUCUCUCUAUAUCUACAAGGAACCACAGUAAACAACAGGUGUUGCUAUAGCAACACGUCAUGUUUAUGCACGAGAUCAAUAGCGCGAAAAUCACUGCAUUUUCUACAAGGUAAAUAUUACCCGCUGGUGCUGAUGGGUAUAAAUGGAAAUUCUUUGGGUCACUUUUUUCAAUCUAACUUCAUAUUGACCAUUUUUAACAACAGAGGGUGCUACGUAACACCCUUUCAGGAAAAGUCAGACUGGGAGACUUGAAUAUUUUAUUGAAAAAAAGUUACAUACAAUCAAGAAACAGCUGUGGGUAAAAUGUACCCGUUGGCGGUUCUAGUGUUAGGGUUGUUGCCAAUCACAUUGAUCCAGGUACACAAAGUAUAUUAGAAGUUCAGAACAGGGACUAAGUGCCACCCAUUUAGAUGGCAUUGUGGUAGUUCAAUCAACGCUAUGGCACUAUUAAUUGGCACGAUAUUGUCGAGAUUGAUACAAAGUGGACCACACUUAGGAGAAUACACAGGAACUAUAUUGGAUGUUGAGAUCUGGAUGUGCCUUAUUAACAUAUUUUGACUGCAACAUGGAAACAAAGCUCUGACAGAGAAUUUCUUUGUCAACUGACUUAAGUAACUAUAGUAAAGAAGUUAACAUGGACGUCCCAUAAUGCAACACAUUUUCGCAUAGUUUGACACUGAAAUGCCUGAAGAGAAGGUAUCAGUUUGUUUAAAGGACUCAUGCCUUGCCAUCCCAUUAUCACCCAUAUUUGUUCUAAUUUUUUGGAAAUCCCCUGACUGCUGUUGGAAAAAACUGCACUAGUAUACCUGACUGACCUGCCAUUUACCAACCGACCUGAGGCAGGAAGUCCCGUACACCUAACGGUUGAAGAGAGGAUGGCGUGUUGUGUGUGUGUGUGUUUCGUGUCUUUGGUAAAGUGAGUGGUGUGUAGCUGCUGUCAGCCAGCUUGUCAGAGACAGGCUGCCCCAGUCCACAGUAGAGGCUCUUCUCUGCAGUUGGGUUACAUUGACGAUGGGUAGUUCUGCAGAAGUCAGUGGACAGUAAAGCCUGGACUUGUUUGCACUGCAGCCAGAGGUAUGCUUACACAGAUCAGCUGAACAAGUAAGGUAAGUGUUCCAUCCAUGUUUAUAAUACCAGAUGCAAAGUUCUCCCAUAACUUAACUCUUCUCUCCGUCCUCUUACACCACGUUGCUGUUCGCAGUGACGCUCACAGGGCUUCUGGCAUCACACUUGCAAAGAAUGGCAUCACAGUGCAGAUUUCCGUUUUUCAACCUUUUUGUGUGUGGAUGUGGUAACUCAUUUUAGACCGUGCAGUGUGUAUGGUUGUAGUACUUUGGCUUUUCUGUAUGUAUGCAUGAACGGUACUAUGUAUGGACUGCUGAGCCAAUGGUUCAACACUAAAGUUUCAAAAAAAAGGUGUGCUGCUGUCAGUUUGUGAGAACAUUGCUUGAAUACUUCAAACAAGGUGAAAAGUAUUAGAAGGCUUAAUCUGUUCAAAAUAAGUCGGCCUAUGCUGAUUUCUUAGGUCAUUUUUGCAGAAUGUUUUCUGCCAUAUUAAAAACCAUUCAGCUUAACUAAGGCAGGUUUUGUGCAACACUGACCAGAAAUGAGUCAAACUCAAAUGGCAUUCAUUUAAAGGCUUUCUGGGUAGCUUUGUCUUUGUGCUACACCUUUUUUUUUUCUUUUCUUUUUUUUUUACAUUUCUCACAAUCGUAGUGCCGAAUGGACAGUUUGCAGGCUACUUUGUUUCACAUGAAUUUACCUUUAGUCCUAUUGUGAUUUGCAGAACCCUGGUCGAUAAUAAAAACUAGUUUUAAUUAUUUACAUUUGACCAGAGCAUCUGUUGUCACCACUCCUGACUCUCCUCAGUGUAAAACUAUAAACAUUAAUACUUUGUGGUACUGGGUUGGGAUCUUUGCAGCUUUGAAGUGAAGCACAUACUGCUGGGUUGCUCUGGGUGGGAUUGUAAUAACAUUUAAAUCCCUAGGUCAUUCUGUUCCUCCAGUCCGAUUCUUAAACAACAACCUUCGUGACUUACUGUUUGAGAGUUUUAUUUUUAUCUUGAGAGAACACAGUUUUUUAAUUCUCACUAAUUGACUCAUUUUCUGAUCUCAUGUUUAUCCUUUUCUCUUGACUUUCCCCACUGGUGACACCAGUGGGUUAUUCACAACAGGUCUUAAAUAUAUACAAAAAAAUGUAUUUCUUAAAUAUUUUUAAGAUAUUUUAGAUAGUCUUGAACUUGCAGAUACACUUGCAAAGUUAAACUUUACUUGCAAAUGCACAUACAUAAUGUAUGUUAGGUACAUAAACAUUUCAAUUUUUUACACAUAAUACAUAUGGGUACGAAUACUACAAAAAACCUAUAAUUAAAAUGAUGCUAAUGAGAAAAAAACCUAAUUUAUAUUAAAAACAUUUGGCGCCUACAUCAUAACUAACUAAAUUUAACAUUUACUUCCUGUUUACAUCCACCAAUGAAUCAUGGUAGUAGUACAAAGUAGUUACAAAAAUUACAGCUUUAUUAUCCGUUGUUUUGAUUAUCAAAUGUUUCACUAUUUAUUUUUGGGUUACGCCAACAAACACUUUUGGCAGUGUAAUGGGGCAAUGCCCCUAAAGAAAACUGGUUUAAAAAAUACAUCUACAAACCUUUUUUGACAUAGUCUUGAAGGGACCGGAGGAUGAACGGGGAGAGAUGUAGUUCUAUUGUGACAAUUUUGCAGUAGUGCUGGACUCUUAUUGCGUUCCUUUCUCCCUCAGUAUCUCUCACUGAUGAUAUCUCACUUCUUUUUGAAUACCAUUUACUGCCAGUGUCCGGCCGCUCAUCGAGAUAUACAGUACAUGACAACUGUGGCAUUUUCCUUUUUGUUGCUUGUACGUAGGAGACAAAAUAACUGUUGAGUUAUCGCUUCUCCUUGAUCAAGAGGGAACCACACUGUUCAGCCAAUGCCGUGAAUCACGCCCUGGAGGCUGCCGAGAUGUAUCUGUCUGCACUGUGAUCCAUUUUCUAACCAUGUCCUCAGUCCUGAUUGGCCAAAAUAAUCUCCAUGUCCUGUCAAUGAGUGUGAUGCCAGAACAACCCUUACGGCCUCUAAUGGCCUCCAAAGUCUGCACGACUGACACUGAAAAUGUCUUCUCGCUAUAAGCCUCGUGGUGUAGCUCCCAGCUCUGUUUGGGGUUUUUGCAGUAACACCCCGGAUGUGUCAAUAUGAAGUUCAGCUUCCCAUGGCUUUGUAACGGAGUUCCCCAAGGUUUGCAACAGACCUGAACGUUGUCAUGAUUUUCUCUCGACUGCAGUUUCUAAACAAAAGUAUCUACUUCAGGAUGCCGAGAUGCCUUUCUUAAAUCUGUUGUUUACUUGUAUCACUCUCAUACAACAUAUUUGAACUUUUUCUCACAUUCACAUUUAAACUCUAAAUGCAUGUUUUCAUUAUAACAUCAUUACUUGUAUUUACAAUUAAAACAUUGAGUCACUGCACAUACAAAAACAUGCAAAACACCCAUAGAUGCUCAGGCUGUCUUGUAUUUAUAUUCUCAAAUGUGGCAACCUCAAACUGUAUGAAACAAGCAUUUAAAAAAAUGAUGUUGUAAACCUGCUGAGCAGUUCACUACUUGGCUCUCAUUGUUUGUUUCUCGUCACAGGAGCCUCGAGCAGCGGAAGCAGGCUGAGAAUCCACGCUGUUAAACAAAGGUGAAAUGAAGACGUGUGUGAAAUGCCAGAGCUGCUGUAGAGCUAAUGCACUGUGUGCGGACACCAGGAUCGCUUCCAUAGCUGCGGGUGAAGCACCAGGAAGCAUCCAUCAGGAGGCCAAGCAGUCCGCAGUCCAGAGGAGGGAUGCACUGUUUGUUUAAAAAAAAAAAAAAAAGUGUUAAUAAAUUAUAUUAACCUGA